This 574-nucleotide long non-coding RNA is filed under the name Fukomys damarensis (Damara mole-rat). RNAcentral's name for it is "lncRNA (ENSFDAG00000022902.1)". Lineage: Eukaryota; Metazoa; Chordata; Mammalia; Rodentia; Bathyergidae. The record is from RNAcentral.
CUCCUCCUCCUUGUCUUGCCUCUCUUCUAAAAGGUGGUGUUGUUUGCCGAAGAUGCUGUCAACUCGACCUCUGUCUGCUCCUUUCCUGCCUCCUCUCAGGUGUUCUUGGCAGUGCACUACACUUCGCAGUGUCCUGUGGAGCAAGUGCUGUCAUCUUCACCCUCACUAUAAGAGUAGAAAUCAGCCCCAGGUAAAUGUGACUGUAUACACCCAGGCUUUGUCUCAUUGCAAAGGCUGAGCUCUUAACUCCUCCUCAAAGUAACUACCCACAAACACUGAAAUGAAAGACAUCCUAUUUUAAAAUGUGUCAGGGUUUUUUAUAAUUCCUUUAUAGAGUUAGAAGAAUUUCACAGUGCAUCAGUGGGAGGAAGGGAAGAACACCCUUCAAACUCAGGAGUGUGAGUGAGUCUGAAAUACACUGACAUAGUCAAAUCAGCUGCAGAAUUCUGGGAGAGAGGCAUCCCUCAAAGGAGGAACGAACACCCCAAACUCCAUCAGGACCUAUAAGCUUCCCAAGCAUCUUCUUCAUGGUUAAGGAGGGCCAUGGGCAGGCCAGGAGGACAGUGACCUGGGC